Molecule: ribosomal RNA, 2033 nt
Filed under: Globocassidulina sp. 5035
Lineage: Eukaryota; Foraminifera; Rotaliida; Cassidulinidae
Description: SSU rRNA
Rfam family: Eukaryotic small subunit ribosomal RNA
Source: RNAcentral
CAUUGAAUGUCUUAUCAUGGGAUGUUGCCACUUUCAAUUACAAUUGUCAACGAUAUACUCAUACAUACACACACAUUAUGCUUAUAUAUCAUUUGUGCCUUUAUGCACGCCAAUAUAAAUCUGUCAUACACACAUAGAUUUAUGAUUGUUUGAUUAUAUUGCUUUACUGCUGUAUAUCUUUGACGGUUAAAAAUGUCGAUGGGGAUAGUUGGAGUCAACAGUACUGCUGGGCGAGAGGUGAAAUUCAUUGACCCUAGCAAGACUACCAAAAGCGGAAGCAGUUGGCUAGGCUAUACUCUUUGUGAUUAUCUUGUCUUAUAUACAUUUUAUCGCACACAAUCUUGCAUAUCACACACAUACACAUCCCGCUUAUGCAUCUCUGCUGUGUAAUAUUUUGUAUGCAUGCGCAAGAUUCUAACACUUUACAAUGAAGAACGAAGGUUGGGGGAUCAAAGAGGAUCAGAUACCCUCGUCGUCCCAUUAAUUACAUCAAACGAUGGACUCUCAAUUGCAUUUAUACUCAGUAUAGUUGCAAAUUUCCUCAGCCUGCAAAUAUAUCUUGGCUUGAGCUUGUGAUCCUCGAUCACGCUCGCCUUUACAUUUAUUUCGUAUGGUCUCGAUGUGACGUUUCGAUUAUAUCUAAAUCUUUUUGCGUAUAAGCUUUAAUGCAUUUUAAUUCUUUGAAACAUAAGAUUAUUGCAUUGCGUGCACUUGAUUUUCGGAGCUUUGCGCUCAAUUCUGGUGAGAUGUAAGCACUAUGUUAUUUUGCCCGCUCACGUAAGUUUUGGUUUAAUCGCCACUUUUCGUUGUGCUGGUUUGCAUUAUAACACUUUCAGUGUGAAGCACGCUUUAGGCACGCGCUUACUGCAGAAAUGUCUGAGACAUUCUCCUCCGGGGGUAGUAUGCACGCAAGUGUGAAACUUGAAGGAAUUGACGGAAGGGCACCACAAGAACGCGUGGAGCAUGUGGCUUAAUUUGACUCAACGCGGGAAAUCUUACCGGGUCCGGACACACUGAGGAUUGACAGGCAAUAUUAUAAUAUUUGGCAUUAGCACUUCGGGUGAAUCGUCAUUAUUAUAUGUUAAAUAUGCUAGUCCUUUCAUGAUUAUGUGAUAGGUGGUGCAUGGCCGUUCUUAGUUCGUGGAGUGAUCUGUCUGCUUAAUUGCGUUUCACUAUUGGGUUCAUAUAAUUACGUAUGUUGUUGACGCUUUGACCCCUUUUUCUACGGAAAUUGCGCGUGUCUUAGUUUUUCGUUCAGCUCAUACAAUUGAACCCUGAAAGCAACGAACGUGACCGCAACCUCUUGUUGCUCUCAAUUUUGACUUACAUGUCUCUGGCAUAUAGUCAUGCUAUGAUUUCUCAUUUCAUUAUGAGAUUUCUUAGUUAAGAGAGCUUUCUAAACUAGAGGGACCGCUGUUACUUUCUUAAACCAGAGGAAGGUUGCGGCAAUAACAGGUCUGUGAUGCCCUUAGAUGUUCCGGGCUGCACACGUGCUACAAUGAUUAUUGCAGUGAGCAUCUCAUUUUUUACACAUCGCAUGCGCGAGUCCAAUUAUUCAUUGCUUCGGUAUGCUUUAAUUGUGUACCCCUGCGCGCGAUAAAGCCUACUUCGAAAGUAAGCGGGUAAUCAAUUAGAAGUAAUGAUUUCCUAUAUUUUUUUCUGCACACAUAUAUAUGGCACAUAUACCCGGGUAGCCUUGUUGCUACUUCUGUGCGUAUCUGUGAUGAUUUGCAUUUUUACAUGCAUCUCAUAUUACCAUAUGUGCAAUUGUCAAUUCAUGGUGGGGACAGACCAUUGUUAAUUGUUGGUCUCGGUCUUAACCAGGAAUGCCUUGUACGGAUCUUUGGUUCAACAAACCAUCCGGAAUACGUCCCUGCCCUUUGUACACACCGCCCGUCGCUCUUACCGAUGGACUUCUCUGUGAGUUUGAGGGACUGGUAUAUGAUCGUGUCUUCGGACACCUUCGACACUAUAGAAACUUAAACGAACAGUGGGGUCUAAAGGAAAGAGAAGUCGUAACAAGGAAUCACUAG